RNAcentral lists this transfer RNA (30 nucleotides) under Silene patula subsp. patula. RNAcentral describes it as "partial tRNA-Phe". The record is from RNAcentral. Lineage: Eukaryota; Viridiplantae; Streptophyta; Magnoliopsida; Caryophyllales; Caryophyllaceae.
AUGGUCGGGAUAGCUCAGCUGGUAGAGCAU